RNAcentral lists this ribosomal RNA (94 nucleotides) under Nocardioides albus. The record is from RNAcentral. RNAcentral also lists the same sequence under 16 other names. Lineage: Bacteria; Bacillati; Actinomycetota; Actinomycetes; Propionibacteriales; Nocardioidaceae.
AAUACCCGGUCCCAUCCCGAACCCGGAAGUCAAGCCCUUCAGCGCCGAUGGUACUGCAACCGAGAGGCUGUGGGAGAGUAGGACGCCGCCGGAC